RNAcentral lists this transfer RNA (73 nucleotides) under Pida apicalis. RNAcentral's name for it is "tRNA-Asp". The record is from RNAcentral. Lineage: Eukaryota; Metazoa; Arthropoda; Insecta; Lepidoptera; Erebidae.
AAAGAAUUAGUUAAAUUAUUAUAUAACAUAAAUAUGUCAAAUUUAAAUUAUUAUUUAAAUAUAAUAUUCUUUU